CGAACUCAUGCAGCCUCUUUAGCUCCUCGUCGCUAAGGAAGAGCUCUGUGUGAAGGGAGAAGUGUCGGCCACGUGAAAAACAAGAAGAAUCAGAUUCGUGGCAUCACGGCCGCUGAGACGCAUAAUGAUGAUGUAGAUGUGGCUUAAAAUGAUCAUCGGUGGGGGCAGGACUGGCCUGUCAUGAAAUGUCAUAAUCAGCUGAUAUCGCUGGAACUUCCACACCUGGUUGGAUAUUGAUUUUACUUCAAAGAAGGCUCACGAUGUAGGAGAUGACGAUCCACUCCUGGAGGGACGGCCAUCCAUCCAUCCGCACCAGGAUGACGUAGUUAAACAGCAGCAGGUAGCCCAAGUUGACACAUCUAAAAGAAUCUUUGUUUCCAACUGGACUAACUCAUUGAGAGGGAACCUUCACUGCACCUCACCAGUGCAGACAGAAGACCUGGAGGCAGGACGGGAGGCAUUUUAUACUUCAGCACGAUAUGGGCCCUGACUUUUCAUUUUCUACAUAGAGACAUAUUUGUUGGUGCUGUCAUCCUCAUGGGGAAACUAUGAAGUUGCAAACAUUAUGAUAAUGGCAAACUUUUAAUAGUUUGCUGGAGUGUCUUCUACAUUCCUGGAAACUGGAAAAUGUUACUUACUCCUCCCUGCCUCACAAAUUUCCUUCCUGAUUCUUUCCACAACUGGGAAGUUAGACGAGAGGACAUGUGGAUGAGUUGCCCAC
Molecule: long non-coding RNA, 721 nt
Organism: Symphalangus syndactylus (siamang)
Lineage: Eukaryota; Metazoa; Chordata; Mammalia; Primates; Hylobatidae
Source: RefSeq, a predicted model, not a curated record